This 456-nucleotide ribosomal RNA is filed under the name uncultured bacterium. RNAcentral's name for it is "bacterial SSU rRNA". It matches the Rfam family "Bacterial small subunit ribosomal RNA", at positions 340 to 786 of the family's 1533-position model. The record is from RNAcentral.
UACGGGAGGCUGCAGUGGGGAAUAUUGCACAAUGGGCGAAAGCCUGAUGCAGCUAUGCCGCGUGUAUGAAGAAGGCCUUAGGGUUGUAAAGUACUUUCAUCGGGGAGGAAAAACAAAACUAAUAAUUUUAUUUCUUGACGUUACCCGAAAAAGAAGCACCGGCUAACUCCGUGCCAGCAGCCGCGGUAAUACGGAGGGUGCUAGCGUUAAUCAGAAUUACUGGGCGUAAAGAGCACGUAGGUGGUUUUUUUAAAGUCAGAUGUGAAAUCCCUGGGCUUAACCUAGGAACUGCAUUUUGAAACUGAAAUACUAGAGUAUCGUAGAGGGAGGUAGAAUUCUAGGUGUAGCGGUGAAAUGCGUAGAUAUCUGGAGGAAUACCUGUGGCGAAAGCGGCCUCCUAAACGAAUACUGACACUGAGGUGCGAAAGCGUGGGGAGCAAACAGGGAUUAGAUACC